CGUACACAGAAUAGCAGACGAAGCGAUAGACGGUAGCACCUUGUGGAAAAAGAACACGUUUUAAAAUUCAAGUGGAAAUUAAGAACAAACUUUCUUGUAACCUCAACGACCAGUCGCUUUGGUAAAUUGGAGUACCUGUAAAUUUUAUAUGACCUCUGAAAUGGAUGAGACAUCAAGUGAGCAAAUGACACCAGUCGAGAGAGACACGAACGAAAGAUUGGAAGUAGCAGAGAUUUACAGAAACAAGCACAAAGGACGCAAAUUUAAGAAUCCUCGUACUGCUCAUCGCAGUAUUUUCUCCACUUGCAUGGCAAGAUGUGAAAAUCAGCAACCGUUUUCUGGUCUUAAAACAUCCAACACCACAUUCCUUGAUGAAAUAGAUAGAAGAGGGAACUGUGAGAAUUGUGGGAGGUCAAGGAAAUUCUUUUGUUACACAUGUCAUAUACCUCUACCAGCAAUUAAAGAGUUAGUUCCUUAUAUUGCAAGCCUCCCAUGCCGUAUAGAUGUUAUCAAACAUCCAAAUGAACAUGACGGAAAAAGUACAUCUAUUCACGCUGCUGUAGUGGCCCCAGAAAUGGUGAAAAUAUUCACUUUCCCUAACUUCCCAGACUAUAGUAUUGAAGAUGGGGUGGUUCUAGUUUAUCCCUGCGACGGAGCGGUUCCUAUGACAACGAUGACGACUAGCCGGGCGGCUGAGAUCCAAAAAAUGGUCUUUAUCGAUUCAACAUGGGCUCAAGCCAAGCAGAUUUACAAGGAUCCACGUUUAAAAGCGCUUCCAUGUGUCGUUUUACGGACGCGGAAGUCUCUUUUCUGGCGGUAUCAACUGGGCAAACCAGACAGUUACUUGGCCACAAUCGAAGCUAUCUACGACGCUGUUGUUAGUCUGGACGAGCGCCGGCGUGGAUCGGAUGCUGAUGGAGGGAGCAGUUACGAUGGGAGCUACGAUAAUUUGCUCUUCUUUUUCCGCUAUUUCUAUGAGAAAAUGGAAGAUUUGUACUUUCACAAAUCACCAGCUGUCUGACAUGUGGAAUCUAUAUCGGUUGUGAACCGGGACAUUAUCGAUCCAUUACAUGGUCCGAAUUCAAAGUCUGUCUCUCUGUGAUUAAAAUGGUGUGCCAUUCACGUCUUCAUCAGUCGAAAGUAUUUCUGAUAAGGCAUGGGUUUCGUACUCUGGCAUUUGAGUCAAAAUUGGACAACCACUCGCAAUCUAUUAUUCGUUUCUAGGCUUCAAUUCUAUAUUUGUAGUUUACCCGGCUGAUUGUGGGCGAUUCAUUGCAGCGCGUGUUGACGACGUGCGGGUCUCGUGGGCGAAUGAAACUAUCGAAAAGAACAGCCAAUCCCUGGUCCAGGAGGAUAAAUCUCUUAAGCUGAUGCAAUAUGCUCUACAAAUUUUCUACUCGGCAACAUCAGACGAGGAAGGAGCGAGCACGAUCGCACUUUGAUCCGAGGCCCCCCUGCUGUGCAUGCAACACACAUCCGAGAGCAAUGUCUAAGAGAGAUCUACUUAGACCACGAACCAUCUGAUCAGCAGUCUUUGCCAGGCAAAACUCAUUGAGGCACUCGGAGUAUUUCAAAGGGAUGUCCAACGAUGGUUCAACCGUGUCCCUUAACUAGUGGAUUAUAGGAGUGAGGCAAACGGGACAACUUCUUUUACUGCCUUUAUUCUCGUUCUACUACUCAUCCCGAGUAAAACAAGUUUUCUCCGCCCAUCUUUUAUUUGGGUAUUUAUUUGUCGUCCCACCUACACGCCCAGCCUCUUCUGUCUCCUGGUUGUUUAAAAAUCCACUCAGCACAUCCCCUUCUACACCAAUUGAUCUUCAAGUUUCGUUACGUUACUGCAGAACGCGUCAAAGACUCGAGUCGCUUUCCGUGAUUCCGCCCACCCGAUUCUCGAUUUUUUAUCAACAACGGCGCGUCUAUUAUCAAUGCGGUGGCACGUGGCCGCACUCGCCGCCGUCUGGCUUAUUAUUAUGGGUUGGUGCGGUAGCGCAGUGAUGGGGCAGCCCAUCGCCGGAUCGAUGGAUCAGCCGCAUCCGCCACAUUAUCCUCCAGCCGGACAGACCAUUCCUGAAAUGUGGGCUCUAAUGGAUCCCGCGGACGGGCCCCCCGACACAAUUCGAGAUGGCGAUGAUUUAAAUGGUGACCUUUAUUAUUUCCCUGCUGUUCCAAUCAUGAAGAGACAACAAAGUUUAGACGACGAUUCCGGCUGGAUAUCCCAGGAUCGUUCGAAACGCCAGAGCCAAUCACACAGCGGCUCGUCCGGAAAUCAUCACUCGCAGUUAUCCAUCAUUAGUCCGAUUGAAGCUUUACGCAGUCGGCUCCGAUUGGAGAUGCUUCGCCGUCAAUAUGGCAACCAAAUCAAACAGAAUCAGGACAAGCUGGAAAGGGUCGGCAAACGCCGUAAGAGGAGCAACCAAUCUUCUCCUAUCGCCGUUGAUGGAUCGGAUGAGAAACGGAUGAGCCAGCCGUCGGUAGCACCAGCAGCGAUCAAAGCACCAUAACAUCUCUUGACCGGAACGGGCCAAGAGCUAACACAAACACACACCACGAGAUUUAGUACCUAGGAGACACACGGCAAGACUGGUAACCACUACAAAGAAACAGAGGGAACGCGACAAAACAUUUAUACAUACAAGGAUCAAGGAAUGAGGUUUUAAUUGACGAGGAUGAUCUUAUAUUUCUCCCAAAAUCCCUUACUUUCCCCAGACCCUUGAUAUUUGUUCUUGUUUUUAAUUAUAAUAUUGCACUGUGCCCCCUCUCCGGAAACAACGUCUUAAAAUUGACACACAGCCCUCCCUUAUUCUCCCAUUAUAUAUAUAUUGUAACGACACAUUUAAUUGAAUAUGCGCGCCCACCGCUCCUUGUGAAGAGAGAUUUGAAAAGACGACAAAAAAAAACAAGAAAUCCACCGACAGAUUUAUUACUUAUAUAAUAUUGUAAGCCUCCGUCAUUGUUGCUAACAUAAAAAAAAAAAUACGAUAUAUGUUAUCCCUCUUUGUGCUGAAUCAGUAUUUCACCCACACCGUAAUUAAAUGCUUUUCCUUUCGGUGUCUCUUUAUCCUACGAUAGUACAUGUUUAAAAUUCACAA
RNAcentral lists this unclassified non-coding RNA (3089 nucleotides) under Daphnia pulicaria. RNAcentral describes it as "tRNA-uridine aminocarboxypropyltransferase 1-like, transcript variant X1". The record is from RNAcentral. Lineage: Eukaryota; Metazoa; Arthropoda; Branchiopoda; Diplostraca; Daphniidae.